ACAUAAAAGAAUAUUUACAGUAAACUUGCCUCUACUAUGAGUGUGUUCUAGAGCCAUUGCUAUAACUUGUCUAACUUAUUCAACCUCUAUGUUCAACCUUCAUGCAGAAAAAGUAGGUACGAGCGCGUACACGCAGUGCCUGAUUGGACAAAAAAACCUUUUUGAAAACAUGUGAUAUUUGCACUGAAAAAUUAAUUCCAUUAUCCGAAUUAAAACAAACCACAGAAGAUAAACGCAUAUUACCUCGAUAACUUAUCACACAAAACACCAAAUUUCCGAUAGUGCUUUUUUUAGCCGUUGGGAAGUUGGUGGCUUUUCCUGAGGAAAUGAAUUAUCAGUUCUUAUAUUAAUUAAAGCGCCCUGGUUCUUACGUUAUAACCUCCAACGCUCUAUUCAUUUCGCCUACAUGAAGUACGACUUAAACCACGUGGAUAUCCUGUUCAAAAUUCUAAGCAAUUCAGUACGUGUUCUUGUGCCAUUAAUAUGACAAUAUCUGUUGCUUUUUCAUUCAUUUUUUUGUAAUCUGAAUACGUCUCAACUGACAAGAAAUACGCAAAUAAAUGGCGUGUGUGCGAGAUCUAUUCCGUGACAUUAAUUUAUUACUUGAACAAUGAACACACAACAGGCUAUCCGUGAUUGGCGUAAACUACGCGUGGUAUUUUCGCUAACAGCCAUUCAAAUUUACAAUUUUAUUAGCCAUUUUACGUCAUUUAGUAAGCAAUUAUAAAAUGAUUUUGAUUGUUAAGUAAAUAUUUCAGCAGUUUAUUGCUCCUUGGUUCGAAUUCUCGCCUCCGUUCAUGACUAUUAAGGCUUCAGAAUUUUAAUUUGAUCGUGCAAUUCAACUGGGAACAAAUUUUCGGACACACGCAAGUAUCGACGGAACACGGAAAUUUUCAUAAAAAAUUGUGACGGCAUGCAA
Non-coding RNA from Paramuricea clavata, 919 nucleotides. Lineage: Eukaryota; Metazoa; Cnidaria; Anthozoa; Malacalcyonacea; Plexauridae. The record is from the annotation of a GenBank genome assembly.